RNAcentral lists this long non-coding RNA (240 nucleotides) under Mytilus galloprovincialis (Mediterranean mussel). Lineage: Eukaryota; Metazoa; Mollusca; Bivalvia; Mytilida; Mytilidae. The record is from RNAcentral.
UUUAUAUUCUACAAAGUGUGACCAAGAGUCUCAACAAAUUUCUUCAAAUUAAGAGAGCCUUUAAACUCAAGACUAUGUUUCUUAGACCCCGUUCACACUAGGACAUUUUUAUCGAUUUAAACUAGACCGGUUCACUUUAGAUCGAUUUAAGAGCCAAUGUGAACGCUUUGAAUCGAUCUUCAAUUAGUCUAAACUAAAACACCAAAAGAGGUAGUUUAGUUUGAUCGAUCUAAAGUAAAC